ACUCCUACGGGAGGCAGCAGUGGGGAAUUUUGCGCAAUGGGGGAAACCCUGACGCAGCAACGCCGCGUGGAGGAUGAAGUCCUUUGGGACGUAAACUCCUUUCGACCGGGACGAUUAUGACGGUACCGGUGGAAGAAGCCCCGGCUAACUUCGUGCCAGCAGCCGCGGUAAU
RNAcentral lists this ribosomal RNA (172 nucleotides) under uncultured bacterium. RNAcentral describes it as "partial 16S ribosomal RNA". It matches the Rfam family "Bacterial small subunit ribosomal RNA", at positions 335 to 524 of the family's 1533-position model. The record is from RNAcentral.